RNAcentral lists this ribosomal RNA (332 nucleotides) under uncultured eukaryote. RNAcentral describes it as "partial 18S ribosomal RNA". It matches the Rfam family "Eukaryotic small subunit ribosomal RNA", at positions 1470 to 1796 of the family's 1831-position model. The record is from RNAcentral.
CCCUUAGAUGUCCGGGGCUGCACGCGCGCUACACUGUAGGAAGCAGCGUGCUUUAAAACCUUUCCUGAAAAGGAUGGGUAACCCCAGCAAAAUUCUACGUGCUUGGGAUAGAGAUUUGCAAUUUUCUCUCUUGAACGAGGAAUUCCCAGUAAGUGCGAGUCAUCAGCUCGUGUUGAUUACGUCCCUGCCCUUUGUACACACCGCCCGUCGCUACUACCGAUUGAAUGGUUUAGUGAGAUCUCUGGAUUGACGCUGGCUAGGGGGCGACCCUUGGCCGGACUGUUGAGAAACUGCUCAAACUUGAUCAUUUAGAGGAAGUAAAAGUCGUAACA